UACGUAGGGUGCGAGCGUUAAUCGGAAUUACUGGGCGUAAAGGGUGCGCAGGCGGUUAUAUAAGACAGAUGUGAAAUCCCCGGGCUCAACCUGGGAAUUGCGUUUGUGACUGUAUGACUAGAGUACGGUAGAGAGGGGUGGAAUUCCUGGUGUAGCAGUGAAAUGCGUAGAUAUCAGGAGGAACAUCGAUGGCGAAGGCAGCCCCUUGGACCUGUACUGACGCUCAUGCACGAAAGCGUGGGGAGCAAACAGG
Molecule: ribosomal RNA, 253 nt
Filed under: uncultured bacterium
Lineage: Bacteria
Description: partial 16S ribosomal RNA
Rfam family: Bacterial small subunit ribosomal RNA
Source: RNAcentral